UUGGAAAGCAAACUGGGUCAAGCUGUCAUUUGGCCAUUUAAAAAUGAAGAAAAACCACUCACUCCACCUCAAAAAACAUAGAGCGUAACUGGCUUUAUGUCUUCAUCAGUCAAUCCAAACAAGUUAGAGGAUCUUGGUGUUUAAUUUUGGGCCGCCGCCUCCUCAGCCGCCGGUGCCGCCGCGGCCGGACUCACCUCCCCUAGCAAAGCCGGAUAGACCGGAGCCAGCGGCGGACACGCGCAACCAGCCGCCGAGGCCCCGCCCCCGCCUUGCACUGACCGGCUGCCCUAGCCAAUCCACGCCCACCUGUCCGCUACCGCCUCCAAUCCUGGGCCAGGAGCUUCAGACAGGCGCACUGUUCGGCCAGUGGCAACAAGGAGCAGGAAGCUGCGUGCUAAUCCCGCCUGCAAAAGCUGGAAGAGAGGGGCGGAAUGAAAGAACCAAUCAUGAGCCAGAGGCAAAGAACAGAGUAACCAAUCCUUGGGUUGAAAAUGAAGUAUGCGGGCACCUGGGCCAGAUAGACACUUGACCUGACAAAUGGAAAAAAAGAUUGAUGUAAGUCCCACCCUUUAUAGCUCCUCUAGGACAGGAUUGUGGAGAAUUUGCUGUCAUAUCGAGA
This 619-nucleotide long non-coding RNA is filed under the name Macaca mulatta (Rhesus monkey). RNAcentral describes it as "lncRNA (ENSMMUG00000060608.1)". The record is from RNAcentral. Lineage: Eukaryota; Metazoa; Chordata; Mammalia; Primates; Cercopithecidae.